Molecule: ribosomal RNA, 490 nt
Filed under: uncultured bacterium
Lineage: Bacteria
Description: partial 16S ribosomal RNA
Rfam family: Bacterial small subunit ribosomal RNA
Source: RNAcentral
AUUGAACGCUGGCGGCAGGCCUAACACAUGCAAGUCGAACGGUAACAGGAAGCAGCUUGCUGCUUCGCUGACGAGUGGCGGACGGGUGAGUAAUGUCUGGGAAGCUGCCUGAUGGAGGGGGAUAACUACUGGAAACGGUAGCUAAUACCGCAUAAUGUCGCAAGGCCAAAGAGGGGGACCUUCGGGCCUCUUGCCAUCGGAUGUGCCCAGAUGGGAUUAGCUUGUUGGUGGGGUAACGGCUCACCAAGGCGACGAUCCCUAGCUGGUCUGAGAGGAUGACCAGCCACACUGGAACUGAGACACGGUCCAGACUCCUACGGGAGGCAGCAGUGGGGAAUAUUGCACAAUGGGCGCAAGCCUGAUGCAGCCAUGCCGCGUGUAUGAAGAAGGCCUUCGGGUUGUAAAGUACUUUCAGCGGGGAGGAAGGGAGUAAAGUUAAUACCUUUGCUCAUUGACGUUACCCGCAGAAGAAGCACCGGCUAACUCCGUG